ACUCCUACGGGAGGCAGCAGUGGGGAAUCUUGGACAAUGGGCGCAAGCCUGAUCCAGCCAUGCCGCGUGAGUGAUGAAGGCCCGUAGGGUCGUAAAGCUCUUUCGCCAGAGAUGAUAAUGACAGUAUCUGGUAAACGAAACCCCGGCUAACUCCGUGCCAGCAGCCGCGGUAAUACGGAGGGGUUAGCGUUGUUCGGAAUUACUGGGCGUAAAGCGUACGUAGGCGGAUUAGUUAGUCAGAGGUGAAAUCCCAGGGCUCAACCCUGGAACUGCCUUUGAUACUGCUAGUCUUGAGUUCGAGAGAGGUGAGUGGAAUUCCGAGUGUAGAGGUGAAAUUCGUAGAUAUUCGGAGGAACACCAGUGGCGAAGGCGGCUCACUGGCUCGAUACUGACGCUGAGGUACGAAAGUGUGGGGAGCAAACAGGAUUAGAUACCCUGGUAGCGACUGA
Molecule: ribosomal RNA, 449 nt
Filed under: uncultured bacterium
Lineage: Bacteria
Description: bacterial SSU rRNA
Rfam family: Bacterial small subunit ribosomal RNA
Source: RNAcentral